GAAGGAAUGAGGUGAAUUGUAAUUAUAUAGGUUUGGUCUUAGCAAGGAGAAGGACCACUUCUUCAUAAGAGAUUAAGAGAAAGGAUGAGAGGGUGGGGUGACAUGUUAAGAAAUUUCAAAAAGAAAAGAAAAGAAAAGAAAUUGUCAAAAUUCUAUGAUUAAACAUGAAGCAACAAAACUUUAUAUUAGGACUGUUAUGGUAGAAUCAUAAUCAACCUCAUUUUAUAGAUGAGGAAACUAAUGUCCAGGGUAUUUAAAUGAAUUGAUCAAAGUCCCAUAAAUGAAGGAGUUUGCCAAAUCAAGAUUUGAAUUUUACCUCACACAUAUUAAUUCACUAUUGUGAAUUGUAUAUAAAGUUAUUUGAAAUAUUUUCAUGGAAUCAAAUGAAAAGUUACAGCAAUUUUUGGGAAAAUUUUUUGGGGAAAAAAGUAUAUAUAUAUACUCUACUCUUCAAAACAAAAUAAGGCUUGGGUCUGAGUUAAAUCAGCUGUUGACUUUAAUUGAAUUUAUUGAGCAGUUGUUCAACCCUCCAUGUCACUUAGCAGAAGACAUAGACAGAUUAAAUUUAUGGCUGCAGAUGAAUCAGACAGAUUCACAACAUUUGCUCUGAUUCAUUGCAGAUCACCUUUAUGGCUGCAUGACCCAGCAGGGUCUGUGAAAGAACCAUUUUGUGGAAUUAAGCCAGCUUCCAGUGAAUCAAGCUGAAGAUAUUUUACUGUCCCACAGCAAAUUCACCCAAAUUAUACUGCUGCGUAUCCUUCUUUAUUUUGAAGAUAAAGGCAAUCAGUCUGAAAAACCUGAACCGACCUUAAGAACUGAUUUGAUCUGCUAUUUCAAGGCAACAAGGUUGAAGAUACACAGACCAUUUGCUUUUUUACAGGUACACAGAACUCCUUCAUUUUCAGAACAGGAACAGAAAUAUUUGAAUGAAUGAAGCUGUCUUUGCAUCUGAUCAGUGCUAAAGGAGAUGUUAAAUUUAUUCCCCAAAAAAAUUAUUUGAAGUGUAAGGGAAGAACCAAUCAGAAACCCAUCAAAGAAAUUCCAAUAACAGAAACAACAAUUCCCAAGAGGCUUCUUCUUUGGAGAACAUCAGACCCAAGAAAAGAAUGGCAUCUUUGCUUUUUUAUGACAAUGAUUGCAACACAACUAAAAUUAUCCACAAGAGCUUUCAUUUUAUCAUUUAGUCCAUUCUGACUCUAACUCUUCUUGUGGACUCAGGGAUAAAUAGCAUCAGAUAAUAGCUGGCAUUUUAUUAAUUACAGAGCUGCUUGAAGAGUAAAAAGGAAAUGUUUUCUUAUGAAUAGUCAUAUUCAUCUGGUCCUAUUUUGUACUUCUCUGAUCUCAGAUUUUGUAUGUAUAUGAUUCUCUAUACAAUAGAGUAUUUCUGUGUUUAGAGAAUUAAUUAAUUCUGUCCUAUAAAGAUAGAUUAUAGUGUGUGUGUGUGUGUGUGUGUGUGUGUGUGUGUGCAGGAGGUUUUAGAAGAUAGGCUGUAAUAUGAAGUUUGAAGAAUAACAUUUAAAGUUCUCACAUCAGAUAUUAAAUUUCAUAAUUCACAAUUAGUAGCUUCUGUUUCUAUAAACAAUCAAAAUAAUUUGUGAAAGGUCAUAAGGGAUAUUUUUGAGACACAUUGAGCAAUGAGUUUAAAGUAUUAUGAUUUAUUCAAAAAGAUGGAGACAUGAAACACUUGGACAAUGAAAGAAUAGCUAAAAGAAAAUGCUUGACUUUACCAUUCAUCUUUAGAUUUUUUAAAAUCAUAUAAUAAAAUUCCUCAAACAUUAAUUGAUCUAACAUUCUAAGUUACCUCAAAAUUAAUUGAGUUCCCUUUCCAAAAAAGUAUAAGUUUCAGUGUAAGCAUAUGGCCUCAGACCUCUGUCAAGGAUGAUCCCAAAAUCAUAGAUUUUGAUCUAGAAGGAACCUUAAAAUCCAUUGGGUAAAAUCCUUUCAUUUUACAGGAAACUGGGGCACAAUGAUGUUAAGAAGAUUGCCCAGGAUCAUAUAGCAAGUAAACAUCAUAUAUGCUAUUUUCCUGACCCCAAAUCCAGUACUCAUUUCACUUAAUAUAGAUGCUUUCUUUUGAUAAAGUGUAGAGUUUACACUGAUGGACAAAUGCAAUGCUGCAUUGACCCCAAAUGUCUUUCUAUCCACCAAUUUUAGGACUCAGAAAUCAAAUUUUUUUUUCUCCCUUUGUUUAAUUUGACAUAAUGGUUUGCAAUAUCAAAAGGUUUCAGAUGUGGUGGUAUUUGAAGUGUGGGGCCUUUAUUUUUGUGAUGACUACAAUUUUUGAAAUAGCUCAAGUACCACCUAAUUUAAAUGUUAAUAAAAUCUAGAACCCAUAAAACAUCUUGGCUAUUUAAGAGGAAAAGUAGUUAUGUAUGUUAUACAUUUUAACCUUAGACACAUGUUAAGAAUUUUUAGAUAAAAUAUCCUAUUAGUUAUACUGACUUUGCAAAAAACUAAUACCUGCUUUACUUUUUCAAUAUUGAUAUUUAUGCCUAGACAAAGAGACCAUAAUGACUAACAAUCCAUCAAUAAGGCACAAUGUAUGUAGUUCAUUUCUCCAUAAUGGUCAUGAAUUUGUAUUUCUCAAUCUUUAUCAUUCCACCUAUCACUCUUGUACCUCUGCUGUGUUUACCAUGUCACUUAAAUAGGAUUAGACAAGGUAGCCACAGUCUUGAAAUAGAAUAAAUCUCAUUGGUCUAUUUAGGGUUUGCAUAUUUAUUCUUGAUCUCUUCACCAACCUAUUUGUGUCAUAGUCUAUCCCAAUGAGUUCAUUGACCUAAGAGUGAAACAAUGGACUUACUCAUCGUUCAAAGAAUAUAUAUGUAUAUUGCCUAAAUUCAAUCAGGUAUUAGAGGGGCAUAAUUUGAACCCAAGUUAUUUAUCUCUGGAGCCAAAGUUCUUAACACUUUGCCACAUUGAUGCAUGCAACAAAUUAAACUAGAUAAUAUAUUAAAAAGCAUUUUAAAAACUCCAAGAUUAUAUAAAUUUAAAAGAGGUCUAUAUAGUCUGAUAUGGACAUAUUCUCAAGUCAAGUGGACAUUUCUCAAAAAUCUCCAAAGUUUCUGAGUAGUGCUUUCCUGUAUGUAAACCAAAGAUACUAUAAAGUAUAGUUUCAGUCAUGUUUCUCUUCAUUGCCAUUUAAUAUGGAAAUUUAACUAUUAAAAAUGUAUUGUUUACCAUAAAAUUUGGUAUGCUAGUCAUAUGGCUGGAAAACUAGUCUCUCAUGCAAGAAAUGGUAAGUUGAUAUGUGGAGAGACUAUUUCUACUAAAAAAUAUUAAAGAGCUUAUAGUUCAAUACCCAAUGGUGUUUGUUUUCAAAUGAAUGCAUUGAUUGGUUCAUGUGUCUAAAUAUCAUGUAAUAGUUACUUCACUGUGCCUAAAUUUAUUCAUGGGUUAGUAGGGUUGGGCACUGAAUUCCCUGGACAUGUCUUACAACUUUAGUACUAUAUUCAUUGAUGUGUAUUAUGAAUGUGUUACUAGUAAUGACUGAUAUUCAAAAAUACAAAAAAUGGUGGGGGGUG
This 3521-nucleotide long non-coding RNA is filed under the name Sarcophilus harrisii (Tasmanian devil). RNAcentral describes it as "lncRNA (ENSSHAG00000029284.1)". Lineage: Eukaryota; Metazoa; Chordata; Mammalia; Dasyuromorphia; Dasyuridae. The record is from RNAcentral.